CAGUCGCCGCGGGAAUACGCAGGUGGCAAGCGUUGUCCGGAAUUAUUGGGCGUAAAGGGCUCGCAGGCGGUUUCUUAAGUCUGAUGUGAAAGCCCCCGGCUCAACCGGGGAGGGUCAUUGGAAACUGGGAAACUUGAGUGCAGAAGAGGAGAGUGGAAUUCCACGUGUAGCGGUGAAAUGCGUAGAGAUGUGGAGGAACACCAGUGGCGAAGGCGACUCUCUGGUCUGUAACUGACGCUGAGGAGCGAAAGCGUGGGGAGCGAACAGGAUUAGAUACCCCUGUAGUCCCUGUCUCUUAUAA
Molecule: ribosomal RNA, 301 nt
Filed under: uncultured bacterium
Lineage: Bacteria
Description: partial 16S ribosomal RNA
Rfam family: Bacterial small subunit ribosomal RNA
Source: RNAcentral